RNAcentral lists this ribosomal RNA (253 nucleotides) under uncultured Coprococcus sp. RNAcentral's name for it is "partial 16S ribosomal RNA". It matches the Rfam family "Bacterial small subunit ribosomal RNA", at positions 524 to 776 of the family's 1533-position model. The record is from RNAcentral. Lineage: Bacteria; Bacillati; Bacillota; Clostridia; Lachnospirales; Lachnospiraceae.
UAUGGAGGAUGCGAGCGUUAUCCGGAUUUAUUGGGUUUAAAGGGUGCGCAGGCGGUCUGUUAAGUCAGCGGUCAAAGCCCGGGGCUCAACUCCGGGACUGCUUUUGAAACUGCGUUGCUAGAUUGCGGGAGAGGCAAGUGGAAUUCCUAGUGUAGCGGUGAAAUGCGUAGAUAUUAGGAGGAACACCAGUGGCGAAGGCGGCUUGCUGGACCGUGACUGACGUUGAGGCUCGAGAGCGUGGGGAGCAAACAGG